This 211-nucleotide unclassified non-coding RNA is filed under the name Hevea brasiliensis (rubber tree). Lineage: Eukaryota; Viridiplantae; Streptophyta; Magnoliopsida; Malpighiales; Euphorbiaceae. The record is from RNAcentral.
CCAGAACCAGAGAAACUACAACCACAGAAAUUGCGAACUUUGUUCAAUGUCAAUGAUCCUUAUCCUGAUUUUGAAGUGGAAUUGUUCUUGAUGAUGAAAAAUGUUAAUGUUCUUUGUCUGGGAAGGUGGGAUAACUCGUCCAAGAAGCACACAGAAGAUGAGGAGACUAAAAGGCACAUAGAAGUGGAGGGGAUAGAAUUCUUGAAGGGGC